This 73-nucleotide transfer RNA is filed under the name Parcubacteria group bacterium CG1_02_39_15. Its description in RNAcentral is "tRNA-Val". It matches the Rfam family "tRNA". From Rfam's summary of the family: Transfer RNA (tRNA) molecules are approximately 80 nucleotides in length. Their secondary structure includes four short double-helical elements and three loops (D, anti-codon, and T loops). The record is from RNAcentral. RNAcentral also lists the same sequence under 3 other names.
GGGCACUUGGCGCAGUGGCUAGCGCGUUCGCUUGACGUGCGAAAGGUCGUGGGUUCAAAUCCCUCAGUGCCCA